CGUAGGGGGCAAGCGUUAUCCGGAUUUAUUGGGCGUAAAGAGCUCGUAGGCGGCUGAUCGCGUCGGUUGUGAAAGCUCAGGGCUCAACCCUGAGACGCCAAUCGAUACGGAUCAGCUAGAGGUAGGUAGGGGAAAGUGGAAUUCCUGGUGUAGCGGUGAAAUGCGCAGAUAUCAGGAGGAACACCGGUGGCGAAGGCGGCUUUCUGGGCCUUACCUGACGCUGAGGAGCGAAAGCUGGGGGAGCAAACAGGAUUAGAUACCCUGGUAGUCCCAGCCGUAAACGUUGGGUGCUAGGUGUGGGGAGGUCUUCAACCCUUUCCGUGCCGCAGCUAACGCAUUAAGCACCCCGCCUGGGGAGUACGGCCGCAAGGCUA
RNAcentral lists this ribosomal RNA (374 nucleotides) under uncultured organism. RNAcentral's name for it is "bacterial SSU rRNA". It matches the Rfam family "Bacterial small subunit ribosomal RNA", at positions 526 to 896 of the family's 1533-position model. The record is from RNAcentral.